Pelobates cultripes (western spadefoot toad) is the source of this 293-nucleotide non-coding RNA. NCBI's taxonomy places the organism in Eukaryota, Metazoa, Chordata, Amphibia, Anura, Pelobatidae. The record is from the annotation of a GenBank genome assembly.
CACCUCUGUGAUCCUGGGUGAGGCCCAGUUCUACAAAUCCCAAUAUUGUGUUUUGCCCUGCUAGGACAAUUUGACAACACUAAGUGACAGAUACAGAAUACCCUGCUGGGGUUAUUACACAUUACUGUCAUUUAUACAGACCCUGCUGGGGUCCACUAGCAUUAUUUACACUACAACAGAUAACCUGCUGGGGUACCCCAUAUCACACACCCUGCUGGGGUUGUUUUGAUACUUUGAGACAAUAAAUUGCACACAAUAAAUUUCACACUACUACACCCUGCUGGGGUCUGCAU